This 460-nucleotide ribosomal RNA is filed under the name uncultured bacterium. RNAcentral describes it as "partial 16S ribosomal RNA". It matches the Rfam family "Bacterial small subunit ribosomal RNA", at positions 338 to 795 of the family's 1533-position model. The record is from RNAcentral.
CCUACGGGAGGCAGCAGUGAGGAAUAUUGGUCAAUGGACGAGAGUCUGAACCAGCCAAGUAGCGUGAAGGAUGACUGCCCUAUGGGUUGUAAACUUCUUUUAUAUGGGAAUAAAACGUUCCACGUGUGGGAUUUUGUAUGUACCGUAUGAAUAAGGAUCGGCUAACUCCGUGCCAGCAGCCGCGGUAAUACGGAGGAUCCGAGCGUUAUCCGGAUUUAUUGGGUUUAAAGGGAGCGUAGGUGGAUUGUUAAGUCAGUUGUGAAAGUUUGCGGCUCAACCGUAAAAUUGCAGUUGAAACUGGCAGUCGUGAGUACAGUAGAGGUGGGCGGAAGUCGUGGUGUAGCGGUGAAAUGCUUAGAUAUCACGAAGAACUCCGAUUGCGAAGGCAGCUCACUGGACUGCAACUGACACUGAGGCUCGAAAGUGUGGGUAUCAAACAGGAUUAGAUACCCGUGUAGUC